CAGCUGUAAACUAAUGUGCGUUAGGUGUGUCAGUGACCACGUGUCACUGAGGUGCCGAAGGGAAACCGUGAAACGCAUCGCCUGGGGAGUACGGUCGCAAGGCUGAAACUUAAAGGAAUUGGCGGGGGAGGCACCACAACGGGUGGGAGCCUGCGGUUUAAUUCGGACGUCAACGCCGGGAAGUCUCACCGGAUAAGACAGCUGAAUGAUAGUCGGGAGUGAAGACUCUACUUGACUAGCUGAGAGGUGGUGCAUGGCGUCAGUGACU
RNAcentral lists this ribosomal RNA (268 nucleotides) under uncultured archaeon. RNAcentral describes it as "partial 16S ribosomal RNA". It matches the Rfam family "Archaeal small subunit ribosomal RNA", at positions 748 to 1008 of the family's 1478-position model. The record is from RNAcentral.